GGGGUGGUGGCGCAGUUGGAUAGCGCAUAGGUCUCAAGGCCGAGGUCGAGAGUUCGAGACUCCCUCACCCCA
This 72-nucleotide transfer RNA is filed under the name Triticum aestivum (bread wheat). It matches the Rfam family "tRNA". From Rfam's summary of the family: Transfer RNA (tRNA) molecules are approximately 80 nucleotides in length. Lineage: Eukaryota; Viridiplantae; Streptophyta; Magnoliopsida; Poales; Poaceae. The record is from Rfam by way of RNAcentral. RNAcentral also lists the same sequence under 1 other name.